CAACUAUCCACAAAAGACCAAAAUGACACAGACAUUAACAACUAUAGGUCACCGUACGGCCUUCAACAAUGAGCAAAGCCCAUACCGCAUAGUCAGCUAUAAAAGGCCCCGAUAAGACAAUGUAAAACAAUUCAAACGAGAAAACUAACGGUCUUAUUUAUGUAAAAAAAAAGAACGAAAAACAAAUAUGUAACACAUAAACAAACGACAACCACUGAAUUACAGGCUCCUGACUUGGGACAGGCACAUACAUAAAUAAUGUGGCAGGGUUAAACAUGUUAGCGGGAUCCCAAC
Molecule: long non-coding RNA, 294 nt
Filed under: Mytilus galloprovincialis (Mediterranean mussel)
Lineage: Eukaryota; Metazoa; Mollusca; Bivalvia; Mytilida; Mytilidae
Source: RNAcentral